GAUUGAACGCUGGCGGCAUGCCUAACACAUGCAAGUCGAACGGGAGUAGCAAUACUCUAGUGGCGGACGGGUGAGGAAUACGUAGGAAUUUGCCCUUAAGUGGGGGAUAACCCGGGGAAACCCGGAUUAAUACCGCAUGACCUCGAAAGAGCAAAGUGGGGGAUCGCAAGACCUCACGCUUUUGGAGAAGCCUACGUCGGAUUAGCUAGUUGGUGAGGUAAUGGCUCACCAAGGCGACGAUCCGUAACUGGUCUGAGAGGAUAAUCAGUCACACCGGAACUGAGACACGGUCCGGACUCCCUACGGGAGGCAGCAGUGGGAAUAGUUGGACAAUGGGCGCAAGCCUGAU
RNAcentral lists this ribosomal RNA (349 nucleotides) under uncultured soil bacterium. Its description in RNAcentral is "bacterial SSU rRNA". It matches the Rfam family "Bacterial small subunit ribosomal RNA", at positions 27 to 387 of the family's 1533-position model. The record is from RNAcentral.